This 651-nucleotide ribosomal RNA is filed under the name Escherichia coli. RNAcentral's name for it is "partial 23S ribosomal RNA". It matches the Rfam family "Bacterial large subunit ribosomal RNA", at positions 911 to 1563 of the family's 2925-position model. The record is from RNAcentral. Lineage: Bacteria; Pseudomonadati; Pseudomonadota; Gammaproteobacteria; Enterobacterales; Enterobacteriaceae.
UGUUUCGGCAAGGGGGUCAUCCCGACUUACCAACCCGAUGCAAACUGCGAAUACCGGAGAAUGUUAUCACGGGAGACACACGGCGGGUGCUAACGUCCGUCGUGAAGAGGGAAACAACCCAGACCGCCAGCUAAGGUCCCAAAGUCAUGGUUAAGUGGGAAACGAUGUGGGAAGGCCCAGACAGCCAGGAUGUUGGCUUAGAAGCAGCCAUCAUUUAAAGAAAGCGUAAUAGCUCACUGGUCGAGUCGGCCUGCGCGGAAGAUGUAACGGGGCUAAACCAUGCACCGAAGCUGCGGCAGCGACACUAUGUGUUGUUGGGUAGGGGAGCGUUCUGUAAGCCUGUGAAGGUGUGCUGUGAGGCAUGCUGGAGGUAUCAGAAGUGCGAAUGCUGACAUAAGUAACGAUAAAGCGGGUGAAAAGCCCGCUCGCCGGAAGACCAAGGGUUCCUGUCCAACGUUAAUCGGGGCAGGGUGAGUCGACCCCUAAGGCGAGGCCGAAAGGCGUAGUCGAUGGGAAACAGGUUAAUAUUCCUGUACUUGGUGUUACUGCGAAGGGGGGACGGAGAAGGCUAUGUUGGCCGGGCGACGGUUGUCCCGGUUUAAGCGUGUAGGCUGGUUUUCCAGGCAAAUCCGGAAAAUCAAGGCUGAGGCG